GGUUGUAGCUCAGUGGUAGAGCGCUUGCCUAGCAAGUGUGAGGCACUGAGUUCGAUUCUCAGCACCA
This 67-nucleotide transfer RNA is filed under the name Marmota monax (woodchuck). Its description in RNAcentral is "tRNA.Ala". It matches the Rfam family "tRNA". Rfam says of the family: Transfer RNA (tRNA) molecules are approximately 80 nucleotides in length. Lineage: Eukaryota; Metazoa; Chordata; Mammalia; Rodentia; Sciuridae. The record is from RNAcentral.